GGUCAUUCUUGUGCUUGCACCAUCCCUGAAGAUUGACCAGGUUCUUGUGCCUUAAUCUUCCCAAGCUUUCGAUUUCCGCAGCGAAUUCCCUCAUUCCAUGAGUUAAAUUCUGGACUAUCUUCUUGACUGCAACUUCGUUCCCAUUUGUAGGUAACACACCCUUGUACACUGUGGCGAAGCCACCCACUCCAAUCACCUCACUGACCUUGAAACCUUUUGUGGAUGUGUAAAGAUCCUUAUACCUGAACCUGUGAGGAUAAUCCAACUCCCAAUCUUCGAGAUCUUCAGGCUUCAUCUUCCUUCUAUACAACAAACGAAUCAACCAUGCUCCAAACACUAAAAGGAUCACAGCUAAACCCGUAAUUAAAACCUUAAUUCCAGUAUGCAGAGAGGAUGAGUCUGUUUCAAUUGGUGGCACUGGGAGUAUAGAAAGAUUGAGCGGACGAGCUGUUCCAUUGAUGCAAAAACUCCAUCCCAAUAUGUAAUGAGAGCUCCUCUCUUCUCCCGUGGAUGCAGAAAAACCAACAUACAUACUGUUCGUGACAACCCCAGGUAGCUCGAUUUCUUUAGACAUGAGUGGUUUCAUUGGUUUGUCCGGAACCGAUAAUGGAGCGAUUGUGACAUUCACAACACCAUCCGCGUAGUCGAUCCAAGCUUGGAUAUGUCCACUGUCCAAAUUUACCUCUUCCUUCUUGUCUGUAUCAUUGACAUAAUAUGAAGCAGGUUCUGAGGCAAUUGAAUCCAUCUUAUUGAUGUUGAUUCCAACAUGGUUACCUUCACUGCUUUUACCUUCAUUGUGUCCGUUAACUGUAUCGAAUUCAACCGCAAAGAUGUGGUUUGAUUCAUCACCAUCAUUCGUGGAGUUGAGAAUUCCCAGAAAAUGCCCACUGUCAGCCCCUUGUAGGUCUGUAGAUGGUGAUAACAAAAAUGCGAGGCCGUAGCCGCCUCCGUCAGAGCCGGAGGGAAUGAUUGAGAAAACAAAGGAGGUGCUGAAUGAAGAAAUAUUGUUGGAAGAGUUCAACAGAUUGAUUGGGUCAGGAUAGAAUGCAUGCCCGAUUACAUCACGUGACCUGUUGGUGAGCUUAAGUGCGCCACUGGGUUUUAUAAUAGUGGCACCCUUCAGAGUGAAGUUUUUUUCUGUGCGAUUGAAACCAUUGUACACAAAAUCAAGAGAUGAAGACUGAGAUUGUGCAGCGCCAUUAACGAUGAAAAAGAAGAAAAGGAGGAAGAGAAGGCAAGGAGCUAAAGAAAAGGAGGAGGCCAUGGAAGCGUGAAUAAGAGAAGAACCAGUUGAGGAAGAUAAUGAUAUAGAUUUCAGAGAGAAGACCGGAGAAGUGGAAUUGUCGAAGUCAAGAAGCAUUGAUUGUGAAGAAACGCUAAACGGCAUUAGGAGUUGGGAGCGACGACAGUGACAAUGAGACAGUCAUGUCAUAUUCCAUUUUCACCCCAUGCCACGAUACUGGGAGAAGAGCCGUGCUGAUACAGCCAUACAGGUUUGAACCUUUCAAGCCUCUAGACUUGCUCACCCUCUGAUCAUGCCCUCGAGACCACAUCAACCGCAUGAUCACGUUGACUUCCAAAUCCAAUGCCGCCUCUACAAGGCUACUUGGCCUUCUGUCUUGUAUUCGCCUAUUGAAGGUCUUGUACAUAUAAAAGUUUUUGAAAAAGUUUCUCUUAUCAUAUUAAAUUACUAAAAACAGUCGACAAAAAUGAAGUGGAAAUGCUUUAUAUUUAUUUUCGUGCGAAAUUGAAUGAUAAAUCAACGACGCGUGAAAGUCUAGCAAAUAAGAAGACUGGGUUUUUCCUGGUAGGCGUGCAAUUGAUGUUGACCCAAGAAAAAUAAAGAAAAUGAACUCGUAAACUACUUUCACAUUUGAACAUCGAGCAAAUUUAGCACGAUCAGGUCAUAUGGCGUUAGAUAGCGGUUUGUUUGAUUCAUCGUUGGGCGGUGGUAUGAACGGGAUGUGGGUCACUUUUACCAUUAUUUGUACUCAUUGAUUAUUCCAAUUGGCAUGGCCUCCAUCACCCUUUGAUCUGGAUUUCUUGGAUUGGAUGGUUUUUCUAUGGAAUUGAAUUUUGUUAUUUAUCAUAUAUACCACGAGGUGAAGCAUGAGAUGUGUGGUGAUGAUCUCUUCUUGGAUACAUUAUUAAAGAUGACCCAUUACAUUCUCUAAACAUUAAAAUAAUUAUAAUCAUUAUAAUCAUAAUAAUCAUCAUCUUUUAAGUUUAUUUGAAUCAUAUGAAGAACAAAAAAAAUUCAAAUAAUUAAAAAAAUGUUAUAUAUAAUUAAUAGAAAUUAUUUAGAAACUUACAAAUUUUGAAAGAAUAAUAAAUAAAUUUGAAGAAUCAUGAGAGAAAGUUUUAUUCAAUUUAUAUUUAGUUGUUUUAUUUGAAUUAUGCAGUAAAAUCCAAGUUUUCUUGUUCAAUUUAUCAUUUAAAUUCCAAAAAAAAUAAAAAUUAAAUAUAAUACAAAUGGUUUUAAGGUGUAUAAAAUUUUAAGUUCUUCCUUCUUUAGAAAAAGAAAUAAAAUUCUAAAUAGAAUAAAAGAAAUAAAUUUUAAAAACUCAAUGAAAAGUAUUUAUUUAGUUCAUACUUUUAACUUUUAAUUUUCCUUCCUUCCUUUAUCUAUUUAUUUAUUUUGGUUUUCUCUUGAUACAAUACCAAAAGCCGAGAUCAACUAUAUCAUGUCAUGUUUUAAGUUUCGUACUUUAUCUCCAAAUCACCUUUUAUCUCAUUAUUUUUUAUACUUUGAUCCUAUUUGUUUAUAUCUUGUUCUAGUAUAUUUUUAUCAUCAUCUAACAACUUAGUUUUCAUUAUAUAUUUUCAAUAGAUUUUAUUAUACACUUUCAAUAAUUUAGAUUACAUUUUUAACAAAUAUUGAUUCGAAGCCCUAAAAUUUCCUAAAAAUCAAACGGUUUUAAGUUCUAUAUUUGUUUUAUCAAAUUUUAGAUGUUAACGAGUCCCUUUCAACAUGUCACUAGAUGCUUACAUUUUAUUCAUUUUCAAUAAGACAUUCAUUUUAAAUAACGUGAUUAAUAUUUCGGUUUAAAUAUAUGUCAUCUUCUUCAACAUAGUUAUAAUUGGAGUUCAUGUUUUUCUAUUAAUAAGCCCUUGUGUUUCUUGACUAAUUUUACUAAAAAUCAUCUAAAAUCGAGCUUUAAUUAGUAAUGGCUAAUGAAAGAAUGAUUUGAUCCAUGAAAUUGUCUUGAUCCCAAUCAUUUUUCAUAGAUAACAAGUGCUAUCAUGAUAUGAGAUUUGACUAAGUUAAUACAUGUUAAUAGUCUAAAAAUAUUGAGAUUGAAUAAUAAAAUGUAAAGGGAUAAAAAGUCAAUGUUAGAUUAAAAAAAAUCGGUAUCAUUGUCUCACAAUGUUCCAUGGAUUAGAAGAACAAAGAGGUGAACAUUCUCAAAGACAAGUGCCAUUUAAAAAAUUGAGGAGUUUGAGACUUGAUUCAAAUUUUUUAUUUAAUCCAUCAAUUGAAUAGCAUAUUUGGUCUUCCAGGAAAUCCAAAUUAUUGGGUGAUGAUUAGAACUAAAAUAAUUAUUUAUAUUAGAUUUUGUGGAAAGCAAGGAGAAAUAAUUCUUAAAUAAGCAUAUGUCAAUUGAUUAUCAUUUGAGCAUUGAUUUUCACAUUUUCUUUGUAGGGUAUUUGUUUUGAUUUGUGUGUUACCUCCAAGCAGAAACUCUCACUAAUGGGGCUCCUCUCCAUUCUAAGACCAUCAUAUUCAUAUUGUUUCCUUCAAUCUUCACCCCAUAUUUACUCUCCCCUUCUCUCACCAUCUGUUUGGCUUCCAUUAAGCUCUCUUGGCUCACUCUCCACCCCUCCAACCCCAAUAUUGAGUCAACAUUAGAGUCACCUCCCUUCAUCUCCUCCCACUUCUGGAACCAACCCAGAGAUGAGACAUGAGGUGCCACAAAGAGACACUCCAUGGCUAUUCUUGCUUCUGCAAAAUGAGUUGGGAAGGUCCACUCCAUUGAUUCUAACAGGGCUUGGUAAUGUAUUAAAUAUUCAUUAAAGAAUAACCUAAAACUCGAAGUGUUCUUCUGUUUCUCCCAGCCAUCUCCAUCACCGAAAGUUAUGAUGCCCCUGUUGUUAUUUUUAGAAUGGACAGUUAGUUCCUUGGCUACCGUCAUGAACUCCAUAGCCUGCCUUCUUCUGCCGGUACUCCCCAUGUGUGAAAGGCCCAUCAUACAAUUAAAAGCCAGCCAUUCACUUCUUCCACCCUUUUUCUUCGUUCUCUUUAUCUCAUUCAUCAACCCCUGCAGCUCCAUCUCCUCUACCUUCAGCUUUAGGCCAACGGAUCUGGCGUGAUUGUAGAGAUGCCUCUUUGUCUCCUCGAAUCUCCAUUGUGAAGCAGCACAAACAUAACCCUCCUCCCUUCGCUUGAUCGAUGUGAGUCUUACUGUCUUUUGGUGGUGUUGCCCUAUGGCAUCGAUCAUUGAAGACCAUUGUAACCCUUCUCCCAUGUCGAAGUCAACUAUGUGUAUGGUCUCAGCAUCGUGAGGCAUGGCCUCAAGGAUUGCCGAGUUGGCUGCAAAGUGAGCAAACUUCCCAUAUGGGAAGAUUUGGUAGAACGCUUUGAAGGCUACAUUGAAGUUCUUGGCAGACUCUUGUCUGAGGUAGUUUGUUUGCUUGUCUGUGGGUUGGAAUAAGUAAUAUGAAAGCCGCUCCACAACCUCACCAGCAGGGCUUACUUUUUCCUGGAUGCGGUUCAUCAACACAACUGCAAGCUCUGCCUCUCCCUUCUCCACAGCUUCUCCAUAGGCCAUGACCAGAUGAACAAUGCUCAGUUCAUUAUCCAUUUCCACGUCCUCUGUAGGCAAGGUUAACAAAGCUUCAAUCGAGUCCACGUCCAUAGAUGCAUCAGCUGACUUCAUGGAUGGGCUAAAGCUCCAGUUGUCGUCUCCUUCAACAGAGGGUUGUUUAGAAGGAUAACUUUUCUGUCUCUCCUCCAACCAUCCAAACGUAUCCUCAGUAUCAUUGCUCAAAAUGGUCUCAAACUCCUCCAAAUUUAGUGAAUAAACAUCAUUCGGUAGUGUAUGUUGAACCUCAUCAAUAUGAAUGGGAAAAUCCAUGUACUCAUCAGACAACGUUGUUGGAGGAUAUGGGAUGAAUUCAACAUCAGGACUGUCCUUAAUUGUGUUGAAAAGGGAGAACCCGGACUCCAUGUCUGCAUCAAUGCCUAGUCCAUAAACUGCAAUUUCAUCAAGACAUGAAUCUAUGUCGUUGAAGCAUGGCCAUGGGAACUGAAGAAGCUCAUCAGGCUGCAUCAUCUUUUAACAAGAAGAGCAAAGGAAGUGAUCUGGAGUUCUAUAUAAAAGGCUUGACUAUUUAUAGGUGAUGGGCCAAAAUCAGACAAGAUAGAUUUCUUUCCAUCAAAAUUCCCAAGUUAAGUCAUCUUCCUCCCCUGUCCGUUUCUGAAGGGAAUUAAGUAAUCUUUAUAUCAUACUUGCCAUAUAUUCAAGAAAGGUACCAUAACUGCUUGUUCUAUUCUCCUUUUGUUUAUGGUUGUGCCGCUUUCAAAGUAAAUGCCAGGCCUUUCAUGAGAGCCUUGAUUGUGAUACAAUUAUAUAAAUAUUAAGGGAAAAAACAAACAAACGGCUUACUCAUUAAGCUUCCAUUCUGGUGCAUUGUGGCCUAAUUAGUUCUUUCAGGCACGUUCAGGUGUUCAUGAAAGAUGAUUCUGCCAUUCACCACCUGGUUACUUUGAAUGAGUUCAUUUUGCUUUUCACAGCAGCUCUGAAGACUAUCUGCCUCAAGAAAAGAAGAAGAAAAGAAUAGGGAAUCUAAGAUAUGAUCAACAAACUAUACCAUAAGCUAGACCAACACCAUUAGUUGUUCCUCAUCAAACUUAUCAAUUUGUUUUGUUGUUUUUCUUGUUUAUUUACCUUUUUUUUCCAUGUAUUAUUAUUUUAAUGAGCGCAAGGUUGAGAGAAGUUCAGACAGACAGACACCCACCCAAAAAUUUUACUAGUUUGCUCCAUAUCUAUUGAAUUUCACAGUGCUUUCAAACAGACCUGUCAAUGUCGACUUGUAAAUUGAUUCCUGCUUUUGUUGUUUCUUAACUAUUACUUAAUCAUUGUCAGGAUGAUAAUAAAUUGUUAUCCAGUUAAUAAGGACAAGAUAUUGUUAGGAUGAUAAUGAAAUGCUGUCCAGUUAAUACGGACAAGAAGAAAAAGUCUUGAAGCAGAGAGCAUGCCGCAACUUAAUAUAAAUUUGAUGCCAUUAACAUACUUUUGUCUUCUAAUCCAGGAGCCACCAUAUCCAGAAUUCAAGGCUUCUUGGGCUAAUUCAUGGAAAGUUGAGGUGCACGUCUUGACUAACGCAUGUAAUGAUAGGGAGUUAUGAUGCAAACAGUUUUUUUGUUUGAAGACACUCUUAUGAUAAUGGAGGAUAACAAUGGAGAUGAUGGAGAUGAAUCAUCCAGUGUUUGAAAGAACACAUUCACCAGAUGGAGCUUCUGCUUCCCAUCAUCUUGCUUGAGUUUGAUUUAAAUCCUUGGACUACUUGAGAUUGCAGUCUCGUCUCAUCAAUGGCAGUGAAAAUUCCUUGACCAGCAGUGACAAUGCUACAUACCAUAACUUUUUUUUGUUGAACUGUCAAGAUUUUCAGCUUACUUUUUGUGAUAACAAGAGUUCAGAGCAAAUGUCUCGGUCAUUUUCGUCAAUGAAUUAAAAUCAUUAAUGCCAUACUGGCAAAUGGUGAUUAAGGGAAGGAAUCUACAUGUUAUAUCAGGUUGAAAUUCGUAAGUACGUUCGCAUGGAUAGAAUGUUGAGUUUGUUUGAUUCAUCCGUGUAAUGGAUUGCCUGCUGAGUGCCACAUCAGAGUCCAUAACCCCAGGUAUUCAGAUUACUUAUUUUGUUUGAUUCGUCGACUAGUGUCGUGGCUGUAUGUUUGGAGACAGGAAUUAAGUAUCUAUCAUAAAAAUAUGGUGCCUAGGCAUGGAUGUCCGUCCACUGCAUCAUUUCAUCAAACACCCCUAAUGACUUAAAACUCUGUAUGUUGAUUAUGAGUCUUUGAUUGGGAACGAGGACUAAGGAUAUCUUGGAUUAAAGUUCAGAGGAAUAUGGCUAUAGUAUAUAAAAGAAUCAACCAGACAAAUAUGGAAAAGACAGAGCCUUUUCCUCUCAGCAUCCUCGGAUUCCCUGAUUUGAAGCAUGCGACCCAAUAGAGUAAAUUUAAAAGAAAAGACGAUGGUCAUGAAGAUAAUUUGGGAGAAGCUUUCAUGCAAGUGCUGCACAAAUGAGGACACCUUUAGGCCUAUAAAAGAAUAGUUUGUUUAUCUGUCACUAACCCUGUAUUCUAUUAACGUCAAUCAAUAGUAAAAUUGCCUCAAAUAGUAUUAAAAUACAUCAAAAGCGCAUGAAUAUUGGAAUGUUUAUCAAACUCCCACUUAUCCAUGAUCAAGCAUACGACAAAAUUCUUUCGGGCACGUUCAGGUGUUCACGAAUGAUAAUUCGGCCAUUCACCACCUGGUUACUUCGAAUGAGUCCAUUUUGCUUUUCACGGCAGCUCUUAAGCCUAGCUGCCUCAAAAAAAAAAGGGAAAAGAAGAAGGAAGAGGGAGUCUAUGAUAUAAUCAACAAAAAAUACCAUAUGCUAGAUCAACACCAUUACUUGCUCCCCAUCAAAUUUACCAUUUUGUUUUGUUGUUUGGCUUCUUUCUUUACCAAUUUUCCAUCCAUUGGUCUUUUAUUCAGGAAAAUAUUUAAGAUUAGUUCAAAGAUACUCCUACUCAAAAAUUUCACCAACUUCACAAUGCUUUCAAACAGACAUGUCGUUGUCGACAUGGAAAUUGAUUCCUGCUUUAGCUGUUUCUUAACUAUUACUUAAUCAUUGUCAGGAUGAUAAUGAAUCCUUAUCCAGUUAAUAAGGACAAGAAGGAAAAGUCUUGAAGCAGAGAGCAUACCGUAACUUAAUAUAAAUUUAAUACCAUUAACAUGGAGACCUUUGUCUUCUAAUCCAGGUGCCACCUGUCCAGAAUUCAAGAUUUUCUUGGGCUACUGCAUGAAAAGUUGUGGUGCCCGUAUUGGCUAACACGUAUAUUGAUAUUGAUAGGAAGUUAAGAUGCAAACGCCUCUUAAUUCAGUUCACCAUGCCUUUGGGAUAUUUUUGGUUUGAACCAUUGACUGAUGUUAUGGUUUUUCGUAUUUGAGGAUCAGGAGGAAUAAGGAUGUCUUAUGGAAAUGUCUAACUUGUAUCAGCCCAACACUAUCAUGAUAAUGAAGGAUAACCAUAGAGAUGAAUCAUCAAUGGUGCUUCUCCUUCCCAUCAUCUUGAUUGAUAGAGAGUAUUAAAAUAGUUCAUGAGAAUUUAAAUAUUUGAACUAGAAAUUGGUAGUGACAACUGAACCGUCCUUCAGCUUAUUUUUGUGACAGUAGGAGUUUCAUAUAAUUAGAAAUUAGAAGGCAUGAACAAAUAUCUGAUCCUCAUCGAGUUGGUUGAUAUCAAAAUCAUGAAUGUCACACUGGCAAAUGGUGAUCAAGGGAAGGAAUCUACAUACUAUCAAGUUGAAAUUUGUAUGUAUGUUAGCAUGGAUGGUCUGGAGAGUGCCACAUCAGAGUCCCUAAACCCACGUAUUUGGAUUACUAAUUUUGUUUGAUUCAUUGACUAGCGUUGCUGUGGUUACAUCUUUAGAGACAGGAAUGAAGUAUCUAUCAUAAAAAAAAUAUAGUGCCCAGGCAUCCACAGAGGAUUUCCUAAAAAUUAAUGAACAACUACAAAGAUGUAUCACCAUACAAAUCAUCCAAAAUAUGAUGCUUAAGCCUCCUUUCAACACUACAUCAUUCCAUCAAACAACCCUAAUACUCUUAAGCUCAGUAUGUUGACUAUGAUUCUUUGAUUGGGAACCAGGAUUAAGGAUAUCUUGGAUUCAAAUCCAAAGAAAUAUGGAUGAAGUAUAUAGAUGACUCAACCAGUGGAUAAAGUGAAAAAACGAAUCAACCAGACAAAUAUGGAAAAGAUGGUGCCUUUUCCUCUCUAACAUCCCCAGAUUCCCUGAUUUGAAGCAUGCGACCCAAUGGAAUAAAAUCUAGAAUAAAAGACGAUGGUCAUGAAGGUAAUUUGGGAGAAGUUUUCAUGCAAGUGAUCCUAUAAAAGAAUGAUUUAUUUAUCUGUCACUACGCCUGCAUUCUAUUAACUUCAAUCAACAGUAAAAUUGCCUCAAAUAGUAUUAGAAUACAUCAAAAGCCCAUAAAUAUUGGAAUGUUUAUCAUAGUCCUACUUAUCCAUCCAUGAUAAUGAUAAUUUAAUUGAUCUUUCUAAUCAAAAGAUCAACCUAUAAACCAAAAAAGUCUUCUGUUAUUCCAUGAGUGACGAUGGUAUGAGUGCAUAAAACUUGAAAAAGAUCCUUGUCACUUUGAUUGAUACCCAAAUCAUGAAUAUUACUUCAUUUUUCACCUUAAAUACUCUGCUUCACAACCAAUCUUAAUCUAAUAUUGAUGAGAAAAUGACCAAAAAGAAACUCCUCGUUUUGGAUUUGAAUUACGAAACAGUGGCCCCAAGAUGCUGAUGAUACAACCCAAUUCUUCAAAUUGAUGAAUGGUAGUUUUUCAUUUUAUUAUUCCAUUUGUUCAUGUACAGAGUAUAUAUAGAGGGUAAUCAUCAUUCUAAGAAUGGGAAAGAAUGAUACAAGAAAGGAAUGAUAUAAGGAAAGAACAACUAAUAUUCUAAUAUCUCAACAUUCCUAAUUUCUCAACACUCCCCCUCAAGUUGGUGCAUAGAUGUCACACAUACCCAACUUGUCUAAAAAUUUUGAGAACACUCGACUUGAGACUGCAACUUUGGUGAGAAUAUAGGUCAAUUGAUUUUCUGAUCGAAUCUUAGGCAAUUCCACAAUCUUAUCAUCCAACUUCUCCUUAAUGAAGAAUCUGUCAACCUCGACAUACUUUGUACGAUCAUGUUGUACUGGAUUAUGAGCAAUAUCACAUGCGGCUUUAUUAUCACAAAACAAUCGGAUUGGUUGCCUAGAUAGGUAACCUAAAUCCUAUAAGAGGAGUCUUAGUCAUAAUGCUUCACAAAGUCCUAGAGCCAUACCCCUAAAUUCUACUUCUGCACUUGAACGAGCGACGAUAUUCUGCUUCUUACUUUUCUAUGUCACAAGAUUACCACCUACAAAAGUAAAGUAACUAGAUGUAGAUCGCCUAUCAUCCACUGCACCGGCCUAAUUUGCAUCAGUAUAUACUUUUAUACUCUAAUGAUCAACAUUUUUAGUGAACAAAAUUCCCUUCCCAGGAGCAUUCUUCAAAUACCUCCAAAUACAUAUGAUUGCAUUCAUAUGUUGUUCUCCAGGAUUAUGCAUGUAUUGACUUACUACACUCAAUGCAUAAGCAGGAUCUGGUCUUGUAUGAACUAAGUACAUUAAUCUCCCCACAAGUCUCUGGUAUCUUCCCUUAUCGGUUGAUACUUGAUUAGGCUCAACACACAAUUUCAGACCUUCUUCUAUUGGUGUAUCAACAGGUUGACAUCCCGACAUUCCAGUCUCCUAUAAAAGAUCUAAGGCAUACUUUCUUUGAUACAGAAAAAUUCUUUCACUUGAUCGAGAAACUUCAAUCCCAAGAAAGUAUUUCAGUGACCUAGAUCUUUCAUUUUGAAUUCUCUAGAUAGAUAAUUUUGCAGAGCUUUUCUUUCUUCAGGAUCAUUUCCUGUAACUACCAUGUCAUCCACAUAUACGAUGAGUAUCGUAAUCUUACCAUGUUGCUUUUUCAGGAACAAAGUGUGAUCUAAAUUACUUUGAUGAUAGCCAAAAGCUCUCAUUGACUUUGUGAACCUUCCAAACCAUGAUCUCGGGGAUUGCUUCAACCCAUACAAUGACUUUUUCAAUUUGCACACCUCUUGACAUUGCUUUUCUAACACCAUGCAUCCUGGUGGAAGAUCCAUAUAUACUUCUUUAGAUAACUCGCCAUGCAGAAAGACAUUUUUCACAUCGAACUGUUGUAAUGACCAAUCCAGAUUUGCAGCUAAAGACAGUAAUACUCGAACUGUGUUGAUCUUAACUACAUAUGCAAAUGUCUCUAUGGAAUCAAUUUCAUAAGUUUGAGUGUACCCUUUUGCUAUCAGUCUUGCUUUAAAUCGUUCAAUACUACCAUCUGCUUUGUACUUCACAGUAUAGAUCCAACGACACCGAACUGGCUUCUUUCCUAGUGGACGUUCUACGAGUUUCCAUGUUUCAUUCUUCUGCAAUGAUUUCAUCUCUUCAUUCAUGGCUGCUUUCCACCUUGGAUCAACGAAGGCUUCCUACACACUGUUAGGAAUAGCUAUAGUAGAUAAUUGAUUUACAAAUGACUUAUUUAAUUCAGACAAAUAAUGGUUAGACACAUAGUUGCUCAUGGGAUAUUUGACUUUAGUAGACAAUUCAGGUUCAUAUGUGGGUUUAGGAAUACCUCUAUUAUAACGGUGUGGUAACUGUUUCAUGAAUGGAUCAAGUUCCAAAUUAAGAACACCCUCAACAAACGACGAUUAGUUUGGUAUUUCAGUGAAGACAUCUUCUGACCCAAAUUAAGAUGGUGGUGAUGGUUCAAUUGUACUGUCUCUUCCUUCUUCAAUCACUUUUUCAGUUUCUGGGUGGUCAUUACUACUUGGUUCCAAAGUUGUACCACUCAUAUCCAACUCACCCACUUCCUGGUUCACUAGUUCAGAUUGUCCAGAUUCAUCCUCCUUAGAGAUAUGAUAAUCAUAAUUGAGAGUCUGAAUUUCCUUCUGGUACCCCCCUAAAGUUUAGACUCAAAUGAAAAAUACAUCGAAUCUUCAUGAAACACCACAUCCAUUGUAAUAAACAUUCGUCGAGUUGGAGAAUGGUAACAUCGAUAUCCCUUUUUGUGCAAUGCAUAUCCAACAAGCACACAUUGCAAUGCACGGGAAGUUAACUUGGUGCGUUGGUGUUAUGUAGAUGCACAAAUGCCACGCAACCAAAAACAUGAGGAGGUAGAUUUGGGACAGUUGGGGCAAUUGCGACAUUAGUAAGACCUUGGAGAGGUGUUUGGAAGUUAAUUGAGCUAGAAAGUACAUGAUUGAUCAAGUAUGUGGCAAAUGUGAUUGCUUCUCCCUAAUAAAAUAUCGAUACUUUUUCUGCUAUCAAGGAAGCACGAACAACCUCUAACAAGUGCCGAUUUUUUCAUUCAGCGACUCCAUUUUGUUGGGGUGUAUUGGAACAAGUAAUCUGAUGAAUGAUGUCAUGUCCUUCCAAAUAAUUUUAAAGAUCAGAACUCUGAUAUUCUCCACCAUUAUCGCUACACAAAACCCAAACCUUUGCAUUGUACUGAGUUUCAAUCAUUUUAUGAAAUUUUUGAAACAACAAGUUCACUUCAUCUUUGGUCUUCAUCAAGCAUAACCAUGUCAUUCUAGUACAAUCAUCAAUAAAAGUAACAAACCAACGCGAACCACUCAAAGUUGGGACUUUGGAUGGGCCCCAAACAUCAGAAUGUAUAACCAUAAAAGGAAACGGACUUUUAUUCAAAAUUAACGAAAAUGAAGCACGAUGACUUUUAGCCAAUUCAAAAAUAUCACAACGGAAACUAGAAAUAUCACUUUUUGCAAACAAACUAAGAAACAAUUUUUUUAAAUAACCAAAUGAAGCAUGUCCUAGACGUCGAUGCCACAACCCAAUUUUAGACUUUUUCCUUUCCCCCUCAGGUCCAUCUGCCAUCAAGGCUUGUCGCAACUUAUUUGAAUCCUUUGACUGCAAGUCCAAGUAAUAGAGUUUUCCCCGCUUAAUACCAUAACCAAUCGUCUGUCUUGUUUGGAUGUCCUUAAAAACACAAAAUUCAAGCCAAAAAUGACAAUACAAGAUAAGGCUGUAGUGAUUUGAGAAACUGACAAAAGAUUGUAAUAUAAAGAUGGAACAACUAAAACAGAAUCUAAAUUCAAAGUAUCAGUAAGAGCUAAGGAUCCUUCCCCAAUGACUGUGGUUGUGUUACCAUUGGCUGUAGAAACAAUUUUUUGUGAGAAAGGUCUAAGAGGUGAGACUUGUCUAGAAUCAAAAGUCACAUGAUCUGUAGCACUAGAAUCAAUUAUCCAUGCACUAUUAAUAACAGGUGUAGAAGUAUUUAAAAACUUACCACCAUAAUUUGUAGCGGUUACCAAUGCAGAGGCUUUCUCAGCAACAUUAGCCUUUGUUUUUAUUUCGGCAACAGCUGCAGUCGAGGUUUUCUUGGAAUCAUUCUUCCGUUGAUCAUGAUUAUGAUCCCACCAGUCUAGAUAUCCCACAAUUUCAAAGCAACGACUAUUGGUAUGACCAGUCUUAUUGCAGUGAGUGCAUUUGAAGGUUGACUUAUCAAUAUUAGGGUUUGUCUUAGGAUGGUUGGUCUUGGAUUGGUCCUGCCAAUUUUGGGUUGAUCGUUGUCGGACUACCAUAGCUGAGGUGUCAAGGUUGUCAGAUUCUACUUUCAUACUAGCAUGACGCACUGCCUCUCGUCGAAUCAAUGCAUAACAUUCUUCCAAAUCCAGAAGAGGAUCUUUGCGUAGAAUCUCUCCUCGAACUUGCUCAAAGUCACCAUCCAAUCCAGCAAGAAAGAUGUGCACUCGUUGUCAUUCAAUGGAUUUUCAGUAUGCUGCAAUGUCCUCAAGGUCUUUCAUGACUACCUUAUCCCAAUUAUCCAAUUCACAAAAAAUUUCAAUUAACUCUCCAUAAUAUUCAGAAAGAGACCUAUCACUUUGUUUGGCAGUGAAGGCUUUUUUAUUCAAAGUGAAAACUUGUAAUUCAUCACUUGCAUCAUAGAAGGCCUUUGAUAAUGCACUCCAAAUUUCUUGAGCGGUGGGUAAGCGUAAGUAACGCUUCAUAAUUUCUGGACUCAUGGACAUUAACAACCAUCUCUUUACCUUUUGAUUCUCAGCAUACCAUUUUUCAUAUCCAUCUUUUGACUCUCUUAGGGAUUUGUAUUACCUCGAAUAUAGGAAAGUUUUUCCUGUUCGGCAAUAUGCAUCUCCACGAGUUGUGACCAAACGUCAUAGUUUGAUUCAGUCAAAAUAAUUCCUGGAUUAAAAGUACCUUCAAAUUGAAAAACAAUAGUAUUUUUUUCACUUUUUUUUCUUUUGAUCACGAAGGAGGGACAAUGACUGGCCUUACCGACAGAAUAUCCAGGAUUUCAAUUGUAUGGCUCUGAUACUAUCUUCAAAUUGAUGAAUGGUAGUUUUUCAUUUUAUUAUUUCAUUCGUUCAUGUAUAGAGUAUAUAUAGAGGGUAAUCACCAUUCUAAGAAUGGGAAAGAAUGAUACAAGAAAUUAAUGAUAUAAGGAAAGAACAACUAAUAUCCUAAUAUCUCAACAUUCCUAAUAUCUUAACAUUCCUAAUAUCUCAACUUUCCUGAUAUCUAAACAUUCCUAAUAUCUCAACACCAAUAUCAUAGAUGAUGAUAAUAAAAACAAGUCAAAUUUAGUAGAUAGAUGCAUUUAUAAUUGAACUACUACUCCUCCAGGUAUACCUUUCCCUCACUAACAAAUAAGUCAUUUUAUGGGUCUCAAAAGUUUUUAAAUAUGAAGCACUCGUUGACACAUAAGGAAAUUAAGAAAGAAAAAUGAUUUCAAUAUCAAUCAGGACACAAAAAUCUGAAAAGCCCUGAAUCGAGGCUUUAUUUAUUAUGUUAUAGACAAGGCAUGAGAGCUAUUAAUCCACAUCAAAUGCUCUUAACUUGAGUCCACCGACUAUCCAAUUCCCAAGCCUUUUGUGGAUGUGUAAAGAUCCUUGUACCUAAACCUGCGAGGACAAUCCAACUCCCAAUCCUCAAGAUCUUCGUGCUAUGUCUUCCUUUUUGUUGGUGUUUUAAGACAAGCUAAGGAAAGAAGACACAACAGAAAAUAAAGAAAAUAUAUCAGCGGAAGUCACUUUUAUUUCCUCCAUCCAACGUACAUUUAUAGAACUGGGAAAUAACUGAAAAGAGAAAAAAAAUCUCAAAUUCAAAACAGAUAGUACGUGAUCCACAAUUUAUGAAAGUGGACUCACAUCUCCUAAAGAAUAGGAACUAACAAUGACUUAGUUUUAUUCAAACUUUGAAAAAUUAAAACAUAACGCGGUAGUCCAAAAAGCAAACUUCUAACACUCCUCCUUGCUUUAGGAACUGCAAACUCCAAGCUUUUUUCUGAGAAACUCAAACUUAGUGACUAACAAAGGCUUUGUGAAUAUGUCAGCCAGUUGCUCUUCCUUUUUGCAGUAGCGAAGAUUAAUGUCUCCAUCUUUCUGCACACCUCUCAAAAAGAAGAGUUUGAUAUUGAAAUGCUUGGUUUUCCCAUGAAACACAGGAUUGUGAGAAAUUGCUAUUGUAUUUUGGUUGUCCACGAACACUUCAAUACCUUGUGUUUGCUUCAUAUGCAAAUCAACCAAAUUUUUCCUCAGCCACAAUGCUUGAUUUACUGUCGCGGUUGCUGCUACAAAUUCCGCUUUUGCAGUAGAUUGAGCCAUAAUAUCCUAUUUUUUCGAACACCGUGAGAAACUUCCUGAGCCAAGACUGAAACAAUACCUUGAAGUACUCUUCAUAUCAUCUAAGGAACCACCCCAAUCACUGUCAGAAUACCCGAACAGCUUCAUAUUUGGAAUCUUUUGAAACUUAACUCCAUAGUCGACAGUUCCUUUGAUGUACCACACAACUCUUUUUGCUGCCUUUAGAUGCACCUCACUAUCAUAAUGCAUAAACCUUGAUAGAGCACUUAUAGCAUACAAUAUAUCAGGCCUUGUUGCUGUAAGAUACAUCAAACAGCCAAUGAGACUUCUAAAGUAUGUAUCCUCCACCUUUUCAGCUCCAUCAUCUUUGCUUAGCUUUUCUUUUUGGUUCAUGGGAGUAUUCAUUUCUUUGCAAUCUUCCAUUCUGAACUUCUUGAGAAUCUCAUUUGCGUAUUUUCUCUAGCAAAUAAAAACUUGAUCUUUUCAUUGCUUGAUCUCCAUUCCAAGGAAGUAUGUCAUUAGACCAAGAUCUGUCAUUUCAAAAACUUGCAUCAUAUCCAGCUUGAACUCAUCAAUAAGCUUUGCACUACUUCCUGUAAUCAAAAGAUCAUCCAUAUAAAGAGAAACAACAAGAAUUUCAUUGUUAUUUUCCUUAACAUAAAGUGUGGAUUCUGAAAGACUUUUUUUCAAGUCCAGACCAAGCAAAUAAUCAUCUAUUCGACUAUACCAGGCCCUUGGUGCCUGUUUUAAGCCAUAAAGAGCUUUAUGAAGUCGACAGACUUUGUCUUCUUUGUCUUCCACAACAAAACCUUCAGGUUGCUCAACAUAAAUUUCUUCUUGAAGAAUUCCAUUAAGGAAUGCUGAUUUAACAUCCAUCUGAUGCACUUUCUAGCCAAGUUGCGCAGAAAUAGCACGAAGUAAUCUGAUUAUGUCAAGCCUUGCUACUGGAGCAAAUGUUUUAGAAUAAUCAACACCAAAAAUUUGUGCAUAUCCUUUAACUACAAGCCUUGCUUUAUACUUGUUGACUGAACCAUUAGCAUUUAGCUUGGUUCUAAACACCCAUUUUACCCCAAUUACCUUUCUUUCUUGAGGUCUAUCAACAAGCUCCUAGGUUUUGUUUUUUUCAAUCAUGAACAGCUCCUCCUUCAUUGCAUCCUUCCAUUUGGACUUUUUGAGUGCUUCUUCAUGGUUGGCAGGUUCAUAAAUUGCAACAUUGCAUCUCUGAUAAAUUUCAGAGAGCAAUCAAGUACCUCUUACUGGUGGAUCAUCCUCCCUUUCAUCUAAAAAACUUGUUUCAAGCUCUGUCUUUGAAUCUUCCCAAUCCCAUUCUUCAUUUUCCAUGAAGUGGACAUCUCUACUGAUAAUUAUAGUAUAAGUAUGUGGCUGAAAGACUUUAUAAGCCUUUGAAACUGUACUAUAACCAAUAAAAAUUCCUGCAACAGCUUUUUGUCUAGUAUAUCUCGUUUAACCUGAGGAACAUAGGUAAAACAAAGACAACCAAACACUUUAAGAAAAGUCAUUGGAGGUUUGUACCCAUACCAUGCUUCAAAAGGAAUUUGAUUCUUUACUGCCUUUGUAGAGAGUCUAUUAUGCAAAAAUAUAGCUGUGUUUGCAGCCUCUGCCCAAAAUUUCUUCAGCAAAUUCUUCUCGUGCAGCAUGCAUCUGGCCAUCUCCAUAAUAAAUCGAUUUCUUCGUUCACUCACUCCAUUUUGCUCUGGAGAAUAAGAAGCUGAAAGUUGGUGUUCAAUUCCUACUUCUUCACAAAAUAAAUUGAGUUGACAUGAAAUAUAUUCCUUGCCAUUAUCAGAUCUUAAAAUCUAAAUUUUGCAGCCACUUUCAUUCUCCACUUUUGCUUUGAACUUCUAGAAAGUGUUCCCAACCUCAGAUUUGAAUUUCAAAAAAUAUAUCCAGCACAUUCUGGUCAGAUCGUCUAUAAAAAUGAUAUAAUAGCGACUACCUUUGAGUGAGGGUGUCCUUUGAGGUCCUCCAACAUCGGUGUGAAUCAGCUGCAACUUAUUUGAGGCUCUCCAAGUUGCUGUUGGGAAUGGAAGUCUGCUUUGCUUUCCAUAUUGACAAGUCUGGUAGCUUGUGGAAAUCACUUCAAACUUAGGUAAGCCUUCCACCAUUUCUGAUUUUUUCAUUUUGAGAAGCCCUUGAAAAUGAAAGUACCCCAGCCACUUAUGCCAUAACUCAACAAUAUUUUCUUUUGUUGGAAAAGCUAUUUGUUCUUCCUCAAGUGGAUCUAAUGAGAAACUUUUUCCUCUCAUUUUGACCUUAAACAAGUCUGGACCAGAGGCAUCCUUGAUCAGGCAAUAAUUAUCUUCAAAAUACACCUUGAAACCUUUUUCUAGUAGCUAACCAACACUUAACAAGUUUUGGUCUAUUUUAGGUACAUAAAUCAUAUCAUCAAUGACUUUAGUACCUAAAUGGGUUGCAAUAGCAACAGUUCCAAUUCCUUUCGCAGGAAUAUGACCACCGUGACCUAUCCGGACUCUUGCAAUUCUUGUAGGCUUCAAUUCUUUGAAAAGUUCCUUGUCAUGAGUCAUGUGAUUGGUGCAUCCAUUGACAAUCAACCAGCUAUUGCUUGAAAUGCUACCUGAAAAACAAGUUGCAACAAAGAGAUGAUCAUUUUCAUCUUCAUUAGCGAUUUGGGCAUCUGCGUCUUGCUGCUGGUUUUGGUUCUUGCAAAUGAUAGCUUCAUGUCCAAGGUGAUUGCACUUGUUACACUUAUCAUCUGGCCUUUUCCAGCACUUGAACGGUGAGUGGCCAGUUCUAUCACAAUGCUUACAAGGUGGGUACUUUCCCUUGGAACUUCUAGCUUUGUUUUUGUUGCUCCUGUGCGCUGCAGCUUCUCCAUUUGCUUGCUGGUGCUUUCUAUUUUUCUUCUUUUUGUUUCUCCAACCAUCUUCAUGUUUGGCGGGCAAGGCUUCCUCUACAGUUGCUUCUUGUCUCAUAGCUAUUCGUUGUUCUUGCACCUGCAAAGAGUUCAACAACUCUGCCAACGUGAUUUUGGACAAGUCUUUGGUAUUUUCCAAAGUGGUUAGGGUAGCUUCAAAUCUUUCAGGAAGAGUAACCAGAAUUUUUUCAACAAUACGAGAGUCUUUAAACUCCGAACCAAGCAAUCUUACUCUGUUGGCUAUGCUUAAAAGCCUUUCAGAGUACUCCUUGAUGGUUUCUGACUCUUUCAUCUUCUACAACUCGAAAUCUCUGAUUAGAUUCAGCACUUUCAUGCCUUUAAUUCGAUCAUCUCCUUCAUAUUCAAAUUUGAGAUAACUCCAUAUGGCUUUGGCUGAUUUCAAAGACAUAAUUUGGGUGAAGAUUGUAGCUGAAACUGCUGCAAGUAGGCAAGCUUUUGCCUUAGACUUUCUGGUUUUCCUUUCCUCGUGAUUCUUGACUUGAGCCAUCGUUGGGUUGUCUAAUAGCGGAGGAACGUCAUAGUAAUCUUCAACAGCCUCCCAUAGAUCUACAACAUCUAGGUAGGCUUCCAUCCGCACAACCCAUAUGGUGUAAUUAUCACCAUUGAAGAUUGGAGGUGCCAUUGCUGAGAAACUUGAGUCUCCUUCCAUGCUUGAAAUUUUGGUGGAAUACGUGGUGUUUUGGUGGCCCUCAACUCUCAACUCACAAUUUUUUUCACUCACAAUCCCUUAAAGAAUAUAAAGCUCUGAUACCAAUUGUUGGUGUUUUAAGACAAGCUAAGGAAAGAAGACACAAUAGAAAAUAAAGAAAAUAUAUCAGCGGAAGUCACUUUUAUUUCCUCCAUCCAGCGUAUAUUUAUAGAACUGGGAAAUAACUGAAAAUAGAAAAAAAAUAUCAAAUUCAAAAUAGAUAGUACAUGAUCCACAAUUUAUGAAAGUGGACUCAAAUCUCCUCAAGAAUAGGAACUAACAAAGACUCAGUUUUAUUCAAACUUUGAAAAAUUAAAACAUAACAUGGCAGUCCAAAAAACAAACUUCUAACACUUUUAUACAACACGUCGAAUCAACCGUUGCUCCGAACACCAAAAGGAUCACAGCUAAAGCCGCAAUUAAAACCUUAAAAAGAUUGGUGGCGCUGGGAGCAUAGAAAGAUUGAGCGGACGAGCUGUUCCAUUGAUGCAAAAACUCCAUCCCAAUAUGUAAUGAGAGCUCCUCUCUUCUCCCGUGGAUGCAGAAAAACCAACAUACAUACUGUUCGUGACAACCCUAGAUAGCUCGAUUCCUUUAGACAUGAGUGGUUUCAUUGGUUUGUCCGGAAUCGAUAAUGGAGCGAUUGUGA
RNAcentral lists this long non-coding RNA (19622 nucleotides) under Vitis vinifera (wine grape). RNAcentral's name for it is "long non-coding RNA (VVIN_LNC002469)". The record is from RNAcentral. Lineage: Eukaryota; Viridiplantae; Streptophyta; Magnoliopsida; Vitales; Vitaceae.